Molecule: long non-coding RNA, 381 nt
Filed under: Monodelphis domestica (gray short-tailed opossum)
Lineage: Eukaryota; Metazoa; Chordata; Mammalia; Didelphimorphia; Didelphidae
Description: lncRNA (ENSMODG00000043468.1)
Source: RNAcentral
UGGUGAUCCAAUUUGUUUUGACCCUGACAGAAAGUGCCUUCUGGAAGUGGUCUCACACUCUUUAAUUUAACCUUUGUUUCACACUUUUUUUUCCAACUACCCUGAGCAAUGGUUUUAGUCAAAAGUAUCCUAAUUCACUCUUCUACCUCCCUACUUCUAACUAAAUUCUCCAGCCAAGUACCGUCAACAGGAAAGGAAGAAGAAAGCAAUGGCAUCUGCCACAUGGCACUUAAUAAAUGCUUGUGGAUUGAAUGACUGAUUAAGAUGGAACUGCAAAGAAUCUUGCUGGACAGCCUUUGAUAAGAUGAUGAAUCUGAGUCCUAAGGAGAUCAAGUGAUAUGUUCAAGGCCAAAGAGAGAAUAAAUAACUCAAUCAACCCCA